RNAcentral lists this ribosomal RNA (504 nucleotides) under uncultured bacterium. RNAcentral's name for it is "bacterial SSU rRNA". It matches the Rfam family "Bacterial small subunit ribosomal RNA", at positions 30 to 526 of the family's 1533-position model. The record is from RNAcentral.
UUGAACGCUGGCGGCAGGCCUAACACAUGCAAGUCGGGCGGUAACAUGGGACUUUGGUUCUGAUGACGAGCGGCGGACGGGUGAGUAAAGUCUAGGAAUCUGCCCAAUAGAGGGGGACAACGCGGGGAAACGGUAGCUAAUACCGCAUAACGUCGCAAGACCAAAGAGGGGGACCUUCGGGCCUCUUGCCAUCGGAUGUGCCCAGAUGGGAUUAGCUAGUAGGUGGGGUAAAGGCUCACCUAGGCGACGAUCCCUAGCUGGUCUGAGAGGAUGACCAGCCACACUGGAACUGAGACACGGUCCAGACUCCUACGGGAGGCAGCAGUGGGGAAUAUUGCACAAUGGGCGCAAGCCUGAUGCAGCCAUGCCGCGUGUAUGAAGAAGGCCUUCGGGUUGUAAAGUACUUUCAGCGGGGAGGAAGGGAGUAAAGUUAAUACCUUUGCUCAUUGACGUUACCCGCAGAAGAAGCACCGGCUAACUCCGUGCCAGCAGCCGCAGUAAUAC